UGUCCAGUAACUCCUAUCCCUACCUCCCCGUGGUGCCGCCUGGGGUACGAGUAACUGUAGGGAAGAUCGGGUAACCAACCCCCGGUGGGAACUUUGGUCGUAUGCUGACAGGGAAGG
RNAcentral lists this ribozyme (117 nucleotides) under Aedes aegypti (yellow fever mosquito). RNAcentral's name for it is "drz-agam-1 ribozyme". It matches the Rfam family "drz-agam-1 ribozyme". The record is from Rfam by way of RNAcentral. Lineage: Eukaryota; Metazoa; Arthropoda; Insecta; Diptera; Culicidae.